Cloeon dipterum is the source of this 611-nucleotide long non-coding RNA. RefSeq lists it as uncharacterized. Lineage: Eukaryota; Metazoa; Arthropoda; Insecta; Ephemeroptera; Baetidae. The transcript has 4 exons. The record is from RefSeq and is a predicted model, not a curated record.
CGGCCACCUACUCUCCUUAUGGCUAACAAGAGCAGCUGAUUGAGCCGGCGGCUGGGGUUUUUCUCGCGAAUUGCACAGGAUCGGUGGGGAUGCAGCGGCUGUUGCGCUCGUUGGCGCCGCUGUUGGCGCCGCCGGACAAGGCCUUGCUUGGCAAGCUGCGAAAAAAACCAGGCGCUUGAAGUCUUCGGCCAAAGGUGGCCGUAGGUCUCAGCGACUCUCCCUGGUGGCGCCAGGUCUUUUAAGAAUCUCAAAGCAGGUGCUGACGAUCAACGCGAAGAACAGUACCUGCGGCGGUGACUGAUGGACACCUGGGCACCGCCUCCUACAAGACGCAGUGUUUCAGUGGCGUGGCGUGGAAGCAAGCGGGUGCAGCAGCGAGCAGACUGGCGUCGGACCGAGUGCAACCUUGCCUCACCAGGAAAAAACCUUCCAAACGCAAAUCAACGUCGAGCCAUUGUCUGUGAUUCGCGUCCUUCCCUCUCCCGCCCUAAUCAACCACUCUUUCUGCGUGUUGACUGACCAAAAUAAAUCUCGACUUUACUUUCUCUUGAAUAACCCAUUUCAUUAAAUUUUGAUGAGAAAAUUAACAAAAGAGAGCUUUUUCCCACAUU